AUAUUUAUAGAAGACAUAAAUAAAACGAAGACACAUUUCUGGUUGUAAACCAGCCUUUUCUUGACUCUGUAUAUUUUUGCUCCUGUAAGUGAGGAAGCUGUAAAUGAGCGCUGAAGGAUGAUGUCGACCUGUGUUUUAUAAAGCGGCUGUGAAGAAAGUGAAAGCCCGUGUUUUUGCAUGUUGUACCACUGACCCUGUUCUAUAUUAAUCUGAGAGAGUGCAGAGAGAGCGGCGAGAUCACGGUGAAAACACAACAUGUCUACUAACUGCUCUCAAGGCACAUUAAUGCUCUCUCUGCUGAAAAACAGAGCGGAGCAGAUGAUGAGGAGACAAAAAGAAAGACUGAUUCGUCUUCAGUCAGAUGAUCCAUUAAAUGUGUUUUUGGUAGAGGGUAGGGUAACUGCUCUGGACGAAUGCAGGACCAGAAACCAGCCAUUUCCUGCACAGUCUGAUUAUCGCCGUCAUGGUCGUUUGCAGAGCAAAGCCCAGUUUACCUCCCAGGCAUGCAGCCUUCAUGUUUACUCUUCCUCUCAGAAACAAAUCACUGACAUCCUGACAGACUGUCCAUGACCUGCAUAACUCACACAGAAGCCAUAAAGUACCAUCUCUGAGCAGUGACAUCUUUUAUGGUAAUUCCCAAUAAAGUCAUGUCUGUGGGGAGUCAUUUUCCCAUGACGACACGCACACAUUACCAGUAACAGUUCGCAUACAACUUUACUGUAAUGUAGAACAUGCAAAGCUACUAGGGGGCAUCGACACCCUCACUUCACGCUGCCUGAAACAAGCUGUUUUAGCUCCCGUGUCUUUAAGGGCCACCAUCUUUAUUAGCCAGCUUCUGGAAGCCUGCUGAGGGGCAGCAGUCUGAAGCCUGAGCUUUUAAAUCAUGUGAUGUUUUACAUUGUUUUUUGGAGGCCUGACUUCAGAUGUGUGCAGCUUGGUUCAGUUUUGGUGACGUGGGAACAGCAGCGUCACCUUUUGGUAUGUUCAGCUCAUUUAUUCAGGUUUCUCCGUCGUCACCUGCCUGUAACAGGUAAUAAGUAAGAACACCACGAGCUGGAAUGAUUAAACUACACAGCCUCAGGCCGUUUCCAGCAGUGUUUUGUUUCUCCUUUGACCUCGACCGGCUCUGCUGUGAAGCAUUGUUUGGUCGACCUUGAAUCCAGACCUUCCUGAGGGGUAAAUAAACGACUCACGUUAAAAUGAUCUCAGACGGAAAGACUAAAUGUGAGAAACACGCCAAAGUGUGUGAGCAGUCCAAGAAACGUCCUCUGAGACCAACAGACUCAACCUGCUGCUCAGCUCCUCUCUCUACCAUUUUCUUCUUUUGUCUGAGGUGACUCGUCAGGUAAUGGCUUCCUCGAACAGCUGGACAGGUCAAAGGGUCGUAUGACAGCAGCCUGCGGCCAAUCAGCAGCCACUGAAUGCGGUCCAGGAGAACAAAGUGAAGUGAAGCUGUUGGACUUACAGGAGUUACUGAUUUCAUUAUGUGAAGCAUUUCCAGCUGGAACAGCACCAGUCUAAGAUCCACACUGAUGAACACAUCACGCAGACCGGAGCAGCUGGGAAUUGAACCACCAACCUUCUCAUUAGCCGAUGACCUUCAGAGUGAUGAGGAGGCUGUAAUCUUCCUCAGAGUAACACAUGAAACAUUCUGAACUUCCUUUGGGUUUUCUGUAAGUUUCUCUGAUCAGAGUUUGGCGAAAUUAUCAGGUCGAAGCUGAUGUGUUAAAACCUGCAGUUCCUCUGGUGGCCACCAGAUGCUGCUGUCGUAUACUGUCACGUAAAAAUGUUGAACUUUACCGCAGAAAUAAGCACGUUUACAGAAACCGUUUGGGUCUCUGUGGAUCAUUUCCUCCUUUAUAAUUGCAGCACGGCAGGUGAUUGUUUUUAUAACGCUUCUUUUUUAACUUGAUUGAGGCUUCCAGUUUGGCGUGUGGCUCCUUUGGUUAGAGCUGGAGCUGCUAGCCUCGGCCUUGGCUCUCCGGAGUCAUUGAACUCGACCUGCGGGCCGAGUUUGUGCUGCUGUGCUGCGUCCUUGAAGUCUGUCCUCCAAGUUUGGGUGAAUUAAAGUCUAAGAUUUUGUUAGCCUGUUAUUUAGCUCUCAGUAUUAGAGGGUGCAGUGUCGGUGUGAUGCAUUAGCUUAAAAACCAGUCUUGCUAGGAGCAGCCGAUAACUUCCACUCUCUUGUCCAAAUAUGGUCGCUUCCAGCUCCAAAGAAACCAAGAUGGCUGCACUUAGACUGCAGUAACCAAAGGGUGGCCUCCUCCUCCUGUUAGCGUUCAGGGCUUCUUCUUUGACAAUCUGUGGAUUAAAAACCUUUUUAGGACUGUAAUGGGGGCAUCAACCACUUCAGAAGGAGCCUCCAUCAGCCGGGUGGUGCAUUAGUGAAGUCGUCUGGAGGCACGUGGGUCCCAUGUUUUGUUAAUAACAAGUCUCUCAUGAAAACCACUAAGUGGCGGAGCUGCCUGGUAAGUUUACCUGUUGCUAUGGAUUCCAGCAUGGUGCUCUGGUUUUAAAAAGCAGAUCAGAUGAUGAGAGCUGAGGAGCAGCUGAAGCUGUUUUCAACAGCUGACCUCUGUCAGCCUCUGUGGGCUGAUUUGUUUGUGAGGAAUAAUCAGCAGGACCUGAUGGCACCGCCGCCUCCUUGGACCAAUCCCUGACUCAGACCGUCUCCAGGACUGCUCGCCAGAUCGCACUCCCAGUGUUUUGUGGAUGGUUUGGAGGCAGUUUGAUCAUGAAGCAGGAAACAAGCUGAAUACUGAAGAUGGGCGACGUUAACAGUUAAAAGUUAAAACCAGUUUAUUCUGUUUCUUGUGUUUUCAACAUUAGUAUUAAUAUAAAUACUCUGCUCCGUCUGAAUAAAGUAUUUACCAGAUGAAAAACUGCAGCGCAGGCAGACAGAUGUCGACUUCUUUCCAUGAACAAUACAGCUUCAUUCAAAGAAACACAGAUGAGACUGUAACACAGAAAGAAAAUGCUGAGUCUGCUUUCUAUGAAUAAAGUUAAAUUUGAGCAUUGAA
Oreochromis niloticus (Nile tilapia) is the source of this 3020-nucleotide long non-coding RNA. RefSeq lists it as uncharacterized. The transcript is spliced from 3 exons. The record is from RefSeq and is a predicted model, not a curated record. Lineage: Eukaryota; Metazoa; Chordata; Actinopteri; Cichliformes; Cichlidae.